This 184-nucleotide ribosomal RNA is filed under the name Thermoanaerobacter sp. BSB-31. RNAcentral describes it as "partial 16S ribosomal RNA". It matches the Rfam family "Bacterial small subunit ribosomal RNA", at positions 146 to 322 of the family's 1533-position model. Lineage: Bacteria; Bacillati; Bacillota; Clostridia; Thermoanaerobacterales; Thermoanaerobacteraceae. The record is from RNAcentral.
ACACCUCGAANGGGGUGCUAAUACUGGAUAAGCUCCUUGUAGGGNAUCCUAUGAGGAGGGAAGGUAGCGGAAGCUACCGCUUAAGGAUGGGCCCGCGUCCCNUCAGCUAGUUGGUAGGGUAACGGCCUACCANGGCNACGACGGGUAGCCGGCCUGAGAGGGUGGUCGGCCACACUGGGACUGA